This 497-nucleotide ribosomal RNA is filed under the name uncultured bacterium. RNAcentral describes it as "partial 16S ribosomal RNA". It matches the Rfam family "Bacterial small subunit ribosomal RNA", at positions 28 to 507 of the family's 1533-position model. The record is from RNAcentral.
GAUGAACGCUGGCGGCGUGCCUAAUACAUGCAAGUCGAGCGAACAGACGAGGAGCUUGCUCCUCUGACGUUAGCGGCGGACGGGUGAGUAACACGUGGAUAACCUACCUAUAAGACUGGGAUACCUUCGGGAAACCGGAGCUAAUACCGGAUAAUAUAUUGAACCGCAUGGUUCCAUAGUGAAAGACGGUUUUGCUGUCACUUAUAGAUUGAUCCGCGCCGCAUUAGCUAGUUGGUAAUGUAACGGCUUACCAAGGCAACGAUGCGUAGCCGACCUGAGAGGGUGAUCGGACACACGGGAAGUGAGACACGGUACAGACUCCUACGGGAGGCAGCAGUCGGGAAUCUUCCGCAAUGGGCGAAAGCCUGACGGAGCAACGCCGCGUGAGUGAUGAAGGUCUUCGGAUCGUAAAACUCUGUUAUUAGGGAAGAACAAAUGUGUAAGUAACUAUGCACGUCUUGACGGUACCGAAUCAGAAAGCCACGGCUAACUACGUG